RNAcentral lists this long non-coding RNA (230 nucleotides) under Carica papaya (papaya). Its description in RNAcentral is "long non-coding RNA (CPAP_LNC015117)". Lineage: Eukaryota; Viridiplantae; Streptophyta; Magnoliopsida; Brassicales; Caricaceae. The record is from RNAcentral.
ACGAGAGUAGUACUCGGAUGGGUGACCUCCCCGAAGUCCUCGUGUUGCAUCUAUUUUUUUCGGCUGAGUCGUUCAACGUUACGCGCGAAUGGAAUUAUGAACUGCUGGUUCAUUCGCAAAGUUGAGUCACGGUGUCGUGGCAUUUUACUUGAUACUAGAACGUGAAGGAGAGAUGCACAGUGUACGCACAAGGAAACAAAUGACAGGAGGGGGGAUGGAAGGAGAAAGAU